This 867-nucleotide ribosomal RNA is filed under the name uncultured bacterium. Its description in RNAcentral is "bacterial SSU rRNA". It matches the Rfam family "Bacterial small subunit ribosomal RNA", at positions 19 to 885 of the family's 1533-position model. The record is from RNAcentral.
CUGGCUCAGGAUGAACGCUAGCGGCAGGCCUAAUACAUGCAAGUCGAGCGGCAAGUCGAGGAGUAAUCUAAGACCUAGAGCGGCGCACGGGUGCGUAACGCGUAUGCAACCUACCUUAUACUGGGGGAUAGCCCGGAGAAAUCUGGAUUAAUACCCCAUGGUACAUAUUGAGGGCAUCUGAGAUAUGUUAAAGAUUUAUUGGUAUAAGAUGGGCAUGCGUCUGAUUAGCUAGUUGGCGGUGUAACGGACCACCAAGGCGACGAUCAGUAGGGGUUCUGAGAGGAAGGUCCCCCACACUGGCACUGAGAUACGGGCCAGACUCCUACGGGAGGCAGCAGUAGGGAAUAUUGGGCAAUGGUCGGAAGACUGACCCAGCCAUGCCGCGUGCAGGAAGAAGGCCCUCUGGGUUGUAAACUGCUUUUAUCUGGGAAGAAAAAGGCCAUGCGUGGCAAAUUGCCGGUACCAGAUGAAUAAGCACCGGCUAACUCCGUGCCAGCAGCCGCGGUAAUACGGAGGGUGCAAGCGUUGUCCGGAUUUAUUGGGUUUAAAGGGUGCGUAGGCGGCUGAUUAAGUCAGCGGUGAAAGACUUCGGCUUAACCGGAGCAGUGCCGUUGAUACUGAUUGGCUUGAGUGUUGGAGGGGUACAUGGAAUUGAUGGUGUAGCGGUGAAAUGCAUAGAUACCAUCAGGAACACCGAUAGCGAAGGCAUUGUACUGGCCAACAACUGACGCUGAGGCACGAAAGUGUGGGGAUCGAACAGGAUUAGAUACCCUGGUAGUCCACACUGUAAACGAUGAUUACUCGCUGUUAUGGUGUAUGCUGUAGCGGCCAAGCGAAAGCGUUAAGUAAUCCACCUGGGGAGUACGC